This 379-nucleotide ribosomal RNA is filed under the name uncultured eukaryote. RNAcentral describes it as "partial 18S ribosomal RNA". It matches the Rfam family "Eukaryotic small subunit ribosomal RNA", at positions 592 to 976 of the family's 1831-position model. The record is from RNAcentral.
CAAUAGCGUAUACUAAAGUUGUUGCAGUUAAAAAGCUCGUAGUUGGAUUUCUGGUCGAAGCAGCCGCUCGGCUUCUAGUAAGUUUGUAGCAGGCGCUUCGUCCAUUUUUGUAAAGACUAUGUCUGUCAUUAAGUUGGUGGGCAUAGGACUUGCAUCAUUUACUGUGAGCAAAAUAGAGUGUUCAAAGCAGGCUUAGGCCAUGAAUAUCUUAGCAUGGAAUAAUAAGAUAAGACCUUGGUCUAUUUUGUUGGUUAGCAUUCCGAGGUAAUGAUUAAUAGGGAUAGUUGGGGGUAUUCGUAUUCAAUUGUCAGAGGUGAAAUUCUUGGAUUUAUUGAAGACGAACUACUGCGAAAGCAUUUGCCAAGGAUGUUUUCAUUGA